Molecule: long non-coding RNA, 3008 nt
Organism: Oncorhynchus masou masou (cherry salmon)
Lineage: Eukaryota; Metazoa; Chordata; Actinopteri; Salmoniformes; Salmonidae
Exons: 8
Source: RefSeq, a predicted model, not a curated record
GAGGGCGAAUUUUGGGCAUGGGGUGGGAUUAAGGGCGAUAGGAAGAAAGAAAGUUGUGUCACAAUGUGUAUUUGAUUACUGUUAUCAUGGAGAAAAGGUCUCAUUGUUGCAGCACUCGUUUUCUUUGCUGAUGUUGUGCCUGUUUCCCGUUUACGGAGGGAAACACCCAGCAGCAGUGAUAAGACCACCCCAGCUACGCUGUCUGCAUACUACUUAUGCGUCAGUAUCACCAACCAGAUUUACACUGAGUCACUCAAUAAUCAAAGCUCUAAGGAGUACAAACAGCUGAGGAAACAGGUGGAACAGAUGAUGGAUGACGUCGACAGCUCUUUGCUAGAGUCUGACAAAUAUAUGGGUGUAUUUGAUAUAAUCUUCAGUAAUGGAUCAGUCAUUGCAAACUCAACAUUAAUGUUUGGGACUACAUUCAUGAUCAUUCCAACUUUAGCUAAAGGUCUACUUUCCAUUCAUAUCCAAUCAAAUAAAUCCAAAACCCUUGACCUGGACCUUGCCUAUACUGAAGGUCAACUUCCAAUAAAAGCCACACUACCUCUUGUAGCACGUACAACAGCAACCAUAACUUCCUCACCACCAUCUACCACAAAUACCCCUGCAGCAACGACUACUACAGUUGCCUUAGUUAGUACGGCUAGCCGUUCAGGAAGGGUUGGGAUGGAACUGCAUCUACAGCAAUGAUUUCAUCUGGCAACAUCACCAGUCUUGCAACAAUUAGUAUCACAAGUAGCCAUACCCUCACAAACACCACCACUAGUCCUGACCAAAAGAGCACAAUUAGCACUCCUAUUCCUGAAGAACAUAACACUACAAUUAGCAACAUUACCACUCAUAUUCCUGAAGAACAUAUCACUACAAUUAGCAGCAUUACCACUCAUAUUCCUGAAGACCAUAACAGUACAAUUAGCAGCAUUACCACUCAUAUUCCUGAAGACCAUAACAGUACAAUUAGCAGCAUUACCACUCAUAUUCCUGAAGACCAUAACAGUACAAUUAGCAGCAUUACCACUCAUAUUCCUGAAGACCAUAACAGUACAAUUAGCAGCAUUACCACUCAUAUUCCUGAAGACCAUAACAGUACAAUUAGCAACAUUACCACUCAUAUUCCUGAAGAACAUAUCACUACAAUUAGCAACAUUACCAUUCAUAUUUUUGAAGACCAAGACACUACAAUUAGCAACAUAACCACCCCUAUUCCUGGAGACCAUAACAUUACAAUUAGCAACAUAACCACCCCUAUUCCUGGAGACCAUAACAUUACAAUUAGCAACAUAACCACCCCUAUUCCUGGAGACCAUAACAUUACAAUUAGCAACACAUCCACCCCUGCUCCUGAAGACCACAACCUUACAAUUAGCAACAUAACCACCCCUAGUCCUGGGGACCCUAACAUAACAAUUAGCAACCUAAGCACCCAUAUUCCUGGAGACCAGAACAAUACAAUUAGCAACACAACCACCCCUAUUACCCCUAAAAAUCCUCCCCAGACCAGUAGCACGACAGUCUUCCGUAAACCCUCUCCAUCAACAACUGCCUCAGGCCAAUCUAACCCCCCAGUUGCCCCUACUGAGAGAGCAACAAGCAGGCAUCAGGCUGCCACAGGCCAAACGACCAGUCAUAAGACCACAGAGAAUACGGAGGCGACACAUAAGACCACAGAGAAUGCUGCAGCUGUAGUUGCUGGGGGCGGAGAAGGAGUCUCAGGAUUGGGGAUCGCUCUAUUGGUACUGGCUGUCCUGACCUUGUUAAUCCUCCUUAUUCUCCUAAUACUGCUGCUAGUGUGGUUGUGCUGUAGGCAGAGAUAUAGAAGUUUCAGCCCAUAUAACCAGAUCAACCACGGGGCAGACAUCCAAAUGUACUCCAAACACAGCCGCUACGACGUGCCCAACGGCAAGCCUAAUGACGAAAUGCGGGGACCAUCUGAAAAACCGAACAGGGAUGCAUGUGGUGAACGAGUACUGACACACAGAAGCUCCAGUCAAUUGGGUAAGAAGACCAUCUGAAAUGGCCUUAUGACGUAAUAUGCAUGGGAGCAAUGACGAUUCUGUACAAAUGGUCCAAUUAUCUCUGAAGUAUCUGAAUGAAGAUCAUGGCGUUGGCUCACUGAUUGUAAUUUCAACCUGUAUUUAUUCAAUUCAAUUCAAAUCAAAUCACAUUCAUUUAUAAAGCCCUUUUUACAUCAGCUGAUGUCACAAAGUGCUAUACAGAAACCCAGCCUAAAACCCCAAGCAGCAAGCAAUGCAGAUGUCCUAAUGUUAUUUUAUUCCUAAUGUUUUUACCAGUGGAGGCUGCUGAGGGGAGGACGGCUCAUAAUAAUAGCUGGAAUGAAGUCAAUGGAAUGGUAUCAAAGACAUGAAACACCUGGUUUCCAUGUGGUUGUUACCAUUCCAUUGACUCCAUUUGUAUUUCGUAUUAUUCUGUACGUAAAUCCGAGACACUCCAUUUAGUAUAUGUUACUCCUCCCCGACCAACCUCCCUACUUUAGUUUCUGUCUAAAGUAACCAGGCCUUUGAAAGGUAUCAUAUGGCUUGACGUGCUCAGAAAUACAUAAAUGAUGUUUCUAAUGGCUCUGAGGCCAGGUUAGCCAUUUUGGCUUCCUUGUGGUAAUGGGUUGAGUUGUAUUUUCAGUCUUUACUGAAGGCAAGCUUAACCUUUGUAAAAAAAAAAAAAGAAAUUGGAUCCUAGAUCAGUAAAUGGGGUCAAAAUAUGUAUCCCGCAAUUAACAUUUAAGAAGAAUGAGUAAGGGUGCCCCUAAGAACAAUAUCCAAUCAGGUACAGUUAACAAGAAGUUUGUUUUCAAAGACUAUAAAUCAAACCUUUUGACUUGGGCUGAGAGAUCCAGCUCUAAUUCCCUACUGCUGGAUAAGACAUGUUUUGAGAUAGGACACUAGCAUGCCAAGAAGUGAACUAUUCCGCAAACCCAACCCAGUGAGGAAAACACCAAUGUUAUGUAUAUUUGACAAUCUGAUUAAAUAAAUCCACCAUUAUUAAUCAAA